Molecule: long non-coding RNA, 138 nt
Filed under: Dermacentor andersoni
Lineage: Eukaryota; Metazoa; Arthropoda; Arachnida; Ixodida; Ixodidae
Description: uncharacterized LOC126534136
Source: RNAcentral
GCUUCUCACCUGUGUGGGCACGCAGGUGUCGGUUCAGAAUACACUGAUGUGAGAAGCUCUGAGGGCAUGAAGGGCAUUGAAAUGGCUUCUCGCCUGUGUGGGUGCGCAGGUGCUGGUUCAGAGUACUCUUUUGUGAGA